Molecule: long non-coding RNA, 1473 nt
Filed under: Homo sapiens (human)
Lineage: Eukaryota; Metazoa; Chordata; Mammalia; Primates; Hominidae
Description: HSALNT0409593
Source: RNAcentral
CUUCACAAGCCUGCAUUGUGUUGGCAUCCAAGUAAGCUCUGUUAGAAGACAGUAUCAUGAGAAUGUGGAUCUAGAAAAGAAGGAGCUGUGAAAUUCUGAAAACAUGCUCUACUACUUGGCUUCACAUUUUGAAACUGAAGAAAAAUUCCAUUUCUUCAUCUCAGAGAACUCCUAAACCUACUCAUUAUGAAGACUUUUUUGAUUCAACUUUUUAUCCUUGAGUAUGACCAUUAAGUGUGUCUUCCUUUGCUACCCCUUAGGACAUGGAACAUCCAUCUGUGAAUUGUUAAUGUCGUCUGUGAAGUGAUAAAGCAAUCUUUAGUUCUUGAGUGUAAAGUGAUUCUUAGUGGGGCAGUUUUGUGUUAACCUUUUUAGGUUUUUAGGAACUUAAUUGUUCAAUCUAGUAUUGUAUACCCAUUUCUGCCUUUGGGGACCUUAUAUUUUGUAGGCAACAUGAAACAAUCUAACCUCAGUCUUGAAUAUACCACAGGAUAGAGGUUGAGAUAUAAAUCUUUCUCUCAUGUAUUUGAAUACAAACCUCAUUCUGUGUUAGAUCCUAGUAUCUGUGAGACAUGACUCUCUGUACUGACUUAAGUAUUUUACCAAAAUGUCUGAAUCAUGCUUUCUUCCACCAAUUAUUUAGGCAGGGUGCCCAACCCCACUGGACACAGAAAUGGUCUCUUUCCUGAAAAUAUAUCUAAAUUUACUCCUCAGUUUACUGUAUCAAUGAACUGUCAGGUUUAUUCUCACACUAAUAUUGCUGGAGUCCAAACCUCAGGGAUGUUUCUUUUCUUGAUAGUCAGUGUGUUAUUCUUUUUUAAAAUUUUAUCUUACACUUAGAAGCUCUGGCUUUCAUAGGAGUUGUUUUUGCAGCUUUUAACUUUGCUCCAGUGAACUGAAAAAUAAACGCUUGAUUUCUAUUAAAUCAUUUGUCACUUAACAAAUAAAAUCUCUGACAAAGGUCUUUCUACUAUAACCCUUCAGCAUUUGAGGAAGAACACAUUUUUGCUUAUAUUUUCUGGAAGUCUUCCCAAUUUUGUUUUAUUUUGAAGGGUAGGAUAUGUAUUUUAUAAUUUUUUCAUUGAUCUAUAUUAUUAAUAUGCUCUAAAUCAUUGGCUAUUUUACAUAUAUUAUAAAGGCUUUGUUGGGAACAGGCCCCAAAAUCUGGUCAUAGAUUGGCCCCAAAACUGGCCAUAAGCAAUAUCUCUAUAGCACUGUGACAUGCUUCUGAUUGCUAUGAUGACUACAAUGAAGGUUGUUUAUCAGAAUGAAGGCCAAGGACACCUGGCACACCCAGGGCAGAAAAUCACUGAAGGUAUUCCUGAACCACAAAUAAUACCAUGAACGAUCUGUGCCUCAAAGACACUUUCCCACUGCAGAUAACUAGCCAGAGCCCAUCCUUUGUCUCCUGUUUUAGUUAACCUGUAAUCUAUAGAAACAAUGCUUAUCACUGGCUUGCUGUCAAUAAAUAUG